CGGAAAAUGAGCAUAGUUAACAUAGACGGGGAAAUGGGAGGUGCGGUCGAACGGGGUGCGUUCAUGUAUGUUUCAUGCAGGGCAGCACUUUACCUGGCUAAGUUAACCUCUCUCUGGGCUCGAAUUGCUGAAGAGCUAACUUAUGGACAGAUUCCUAGCAGGAUUGCUAGCUAUACAGUCAGUUACAGAUGACUAGCAAAAUGCGCUGGAGUUACGGAGACUGUGUUCUUCUCUCCUGGGCCUGUGUCUCGAACGCACACCCUCUGUCUGCAUUGCCAGAACCCACCAUGAACACAUCCCUGUCUUCAUAUUCAGGGCCUGACAGAACUAGGCUGGCAGAGGAGAGCUGCAGGUCUAGACAAGCCAGCAGAAUAGAACCCCAGAAACAUGGGAGAGGGCCUCAAACACACUUAGUGCUGGAGAUCACCCUAUGAAUGGCAGACAAGAUUGGGGACAGGUGGAGCUGAUUGGGUUGUUGAGAGGUUGCACCUGGGUUUGGGACCAACUAGAAGAUAAACGUUCCAGGUGGCCAGUCCUGGAUCGCUCUCUCCCACAAGGACCAAGAUCGGCAGGCGACCAUGGGUGGUAGACGAAAAUAGUUGGGUGCGCGUGGUCUUCACUUCCCACGGAUGGAUUAGCAACUUCUACCGUCGGGAAAUUACCUUCAGGCUUCCUAGACGACGUGACGCUCCUUGUCCUCCAAGCAAUUGGGGAUGUCGCACCAAGGUCGGCCACGAGUGAAGGAUAAAACUUCCGGGCAGGAAGAUUUUUUUUUGUGUUUUUUACACACACACACACUCACACACUUACUAUUUUAUUUAUUUCAUUUUAAUGUAUUAUUUUCAUUUUCUAACAUACAGUACGC
Long non-coding RNA from Esox lucius (northern pike), 865 nucleotides. Lineage: Eukaryota; Metazoa; Chordata; Actinopteri; Esociformes; Esocidae. The record is from Ensembl.